CAGCCGCCGCGGGAAUACGGAGGGUGCAAGCGUUAAUCGGAAUUACUGGGCGUAAAGCGUGCGCAGGCGGUUUGUUAAGACAGAUGUGAAAUCCCCGGGCUUAACCUGGGAACUGCAUUUGUGACUGGCAAGCUAGAGUAUGGCAGAGGGGGGUGGAAUUCCGCGUGUAGCAGUGAAAUGCGUAGAUAUGCGGAGGAACACCGAUGGCGAAGGCAGCCCCCUGGGCCAAUACUGACGCUCAUGCACGAAAGCGUGGGGAGCAAACAGGAUUAGAUACCCCCGUAGUCCCUGUCUCUUAUAC
RNAcentral lists this ribosomal RNA (301 nucleotides) under uncultured bacterium. RNAcentral's name for it is "partial 16S ribosomal RNA". It matches the Rfam family "Bacterial small subunit ribosomal RNA", at positions 509 to 807 of the family's 1533-position model. The record is from RNAcentral.